RNAcentral lists this ribosomal RNA (168 nucleotides) under Chromolepis heterophylla. Its description in RNAcentral is "5.8S ribosomal RNA". It matches the Rfam family "5.8S ribosomal RNA". From Rfam's summary of the family: 5.8S ribosomal RNA (5.8S rRNA) is a component of the large subunit of the eukaryotic ribosome. It is transcribed by RNA polymerase I as part of the 45S precursor that also contains 18S and 28S rRNA. Lineage: Eukaryota; Viridiplantae; Streptophyta; Magnoliopsida; Asterales; Asteraceae. The record is from RNAcentral.
AAACGACUCUCGGCAACGGAUAUCUCGGCUCACGCAUCGAUGAAGAACGUAGCAAAAUGCGAUACUUGGUGUGAAUUGCAGAAUCCCGUGAACCAUCGAGUUUUUGAACGCAAGUUGCGCCCGAAGCCAUCCGGCUUAGGGCACGUCUGCCUGGGCGUCACGCAUCAC